This 1451-nucleotide long non-coding RNA is filed under the name Gallus gallus (chicken). Lineage: Eukaryota; Metazoa; Chordata; Aves; Galliformes; Phasianidae. The record is from RNAcentral.
CCGGCGGGAGGCGCCGCGAAAUGGCGGUCGGGAGCGGCGUGGCUCUGGGGUGGCUGCCCUGAGGCCGGGCCCGCUGGCGCCGAGUGUGAGCGUGGUGCUGUCAUUGUGAUCAGCAGGCAUCCAGUGUGAGCAUUCAGCGCAGCUAUCUGCAGAGAGGUUCAAAUUGCAGGAUAUGGAAGCACCUAGGAGCAAAAACCCCAGUAUUCAUUUCAGUGCAUGUAUAGAGUGCUUAGAGCCCAGGCUGUCACCUACCACAGGACAGAGCACAGAGAGAAAUGGCAGUAUUGUGGCUGAGCUCUCCUGUCACUGACCAACAGGACAUUGAGACGAGACAGAUGCAAUGAUACACGCAUUCACAGGUGCAGCAGAAGGAAAGGAAGACUUCUGUCAACGAUUAUCUAUGCAAGCUGCAAAAGCAGCAUUUGCAGUAGCUCUCCUGGGCCCUGAGAGUGCUUCGUGAGGCGUGCUGAGAUGGAUAGGAUUUAUAAACCGUGGAUGGGUAUUUCCUACAGUGCAGCGCUCUCGGCAGCGCUAUUCCAUGAGGCUCUCUGUAGAAGACAUAUAUGUUCAUGAAAACAUUUUAUAGCCCUGUUGUGCUGGGAUUAAUAUCAGAUAAGAAAGUUCAGACCACGUGUACUUUGUUCUUCCCAGCACAUUUCUAAGUCCGCAAAUAGGAAGGAGCCCACGGGAGCAUAUGACUAUUAAGUAACUAAUAUACUUCCCAGUUGAUGCAAUUUUGGCAUUUCAUAGUUUUCACAAUAAUUUACAGACAGUGCAGUUCUUCAGAAGCAGACAGCAUCUGCGUGCACUUUGAAAGAUGGUGUCUCAAUCUACAGAUACACAGCUGUGAGUGAUGUGCCUUGUUAUAUACAAGCUGCAAGUCAGCACUGUAUGUGCUGUUACACUGAAUGUCACUGACUGAGCCCGGUGGUACUCAGUCACCCAAACGUGCUCUGCUUUCCCUUCACACUGCCAUAGGGGUGUACCUGAUAAAGCACCACAGCACUGAUGUUUUGUACUGGACAAGAGCAGCUCACGCUGCAUUACGCACUGUAUUGCCACAGCCAGCAGUGCACACACGGAGCCUUUCUGUCUGCCUUGGGGAACUUUUGGUAACUUUUGGCCACGUCCUGCUUUGAUGGAGUCAGUGUUUGAGCCAACCAAAACCACACGAGCUGUGCUCCCAGGAAGGAGUAUGGUAAGCUAAGCGAGUUGUGGGGAAGCUCUUAAAAGGGGAACUGAACUCGUUGUGCUGAACAUGUUUUGUUUUAUAUUAGCCUUAUAAUUUUAGGCCUAAUGUUUGGUUUGGAAGCUCAAAGCCAUGCUUGAGCCUGCAGCUGCCAGCUCAAGAAGAGGCUGUGGUGUAAUAGUCAUUUAAUUCCUCCGUGCUGUAAUCUGAUGGUGGGAUGUGCUCCCAAGCAGCUUUUAGGUCUGACUGGGGAACAAAAUCA